Molecule: ribosomal RNA, 381 nt
Filed under: Holosporaceae bacterium
Lineage: Bacteria; Pseudomonadati; Pseudomonadota; Alphaproteobacteria; Holosporales; Holosporaceae
Description: bacterial SSU rRNA
Rfam family: Bacterial small subunit ribosomal RNA
Source: RNAcentral
UAACUUGAGAGUUUGAUCCUGGCUCAGAACGAACGCUGGCGGCACGCUUAACACAUGCAAGUCGAACGAAACCAUGGAGCUUGCUUCAUGGUUUAGUGGCGCACGGGUGAGUAACGCGUGGAUACCUGCCUGUUGGUGGUGAAUAACUCUGGGAAACUGGAGCUAAUACAGCAUAAGCUCGGAAGAGGAAAGGCCGAAAGGUCGCCAAUAGAGGGGUCUGCGUCUGAUUAGGUAGUUGGUGAGGUAAUGGCCCACCAAGCCGAUGAUCAGUAGCUGGUCUGAGAGGAUGGUCAGCCACACUGGAACUGAGAUACGGUCCAGACUCCUACGGGAGGCAGCAGUGGGGAAUAUUGGACAAUGGGGGAAACCCUGAUCCAGCGA